GAUGAAGAACGCAGCGAAAUGCGAUAAGUAGUGUGAAUUGCAGAAUUCAGUGAAUCAUCGAAUCUUUGAACGCACAUUGCGCCCCUCGGUAUUCCGUGGGGCAUGCCUGUUCGAGCGUCAUUUACCCCUCAAGCACUGCUUGGUGUUGGGCGUCUGUCCCGCUUCGCGCGCGGACUCGCCCCAAAGGUAUUGGCAGCGGUCGUGCCAGCUUCUCGCACAGCACAUUGCGCUUCUCGAGGCGGUCGAUCGGCGUCCACGAAGCUCACCUCCACCGUUUGACCUCGGAUCAGGUAGGGAUACCCGCUGAACUUAAGCAUAUCAAUAAGCGGAGGA
RNAcentral lists this unclassified non-coding RNA (333 nucleotides) under soil metagenome. Its description in RNAcentral is "partial contains 5.8S ribosomal RNA, internal transcribed spacer 2, and large subunit ribosomal RNA". The stretch from base 1 to 120 matches the Rfam family "5.8S ribosomal RNA", at positions 35 to 154 of the family's 154-position model. The record is from RNAcentral.